GACGAACGCUGGCGGCGCGCCUAACACAUGCAAGUCGAACGAGCGAGAGAGAGCUUGCUUUCUUGAGCGAGUGGCGAACGGGUGAGUAACGCGUGAGGAACCUGCCUCAAAGAGGGGGACAACAGUUGGAAACGACUGCUAAUACCGCAUAAGCCCACGGUGCCGCAUGGCACAGAGGGAAAAGGAGCAAUCCGCUUUGAGAUGGCCUCGCGUCCGAUUAGCUAGUUGGUGAGGUAACGGCCCACCAAGGCGACGAUCGGUAGCCGGACUGAGAGGUUGAACGGCCACAUUGGGACUGAGACACGGCCCAGACUUCUACGGGAGGCAGCAGUGGGGAAUAUUGCACAAUGGGGGAAACCCUGAUGCAGCGACGCCGCGUGGAGGAAGAAGGUCUUCGGAUUGUAAACUCCUGUUGUUGGGGAAGAUAAUGACGGUACCCAACAAGGAAGUGACGGCUAACUACGUG
This 466-nucleotide ribosomal RNA is filed under the name uncultured bacterium. Its description in RNAcentral is "partial 16S ribosomal RNA". It matches the Rfam family "Bacterial small subunit ribosomal RNA", at positions 28 to 507 of the family's 1533-position model. The record is from RNAcentral.